GACGAACGCUGGCGGCGUGCUUAACACAUGCAAGUCGAACGGAAAGGCCCUGCUUUUGUUGGGUUCUCGAUUGGCGAACGGGUGAGUAACACGUGAGUAACCUGCCCUUGUCUUUGGGAUAACUUCAGGAAACUGGGGCUAAUACCGGAUAGGAUCUCCUGCUGCAUGUUGGUGAUUGGAAAGUUUCGGCGGUUGGGGAUGUACUCGCUGCUUAUCAGCUUGUUUGUGGGGUAGUGGCUUACCAAGGCUUUGACGGGUAGCCGGCCUGAGAGGGUGACCGGCCACAUUGGGACUGAGAUACGGACCAGACUCCUACGGGAGGCAGCAGUGGGGAAUAUUGCAGAAUGGGGGGAAGCCUGAUGCAGCAACGCCGCGUGCGGGAUGACGGCCUUCGGGUUGUAAACCGCUUUCGACUGUGACGAAGCGUGAGUGACGGUAAUGGGUAAAGAAGCACCGGCUAACUACGUG
RNAcentral lists this ribosomal RNA (468 nucleotides) under uncultured bacterium. RNAcentral's name for it is "partial 16S ribosomal RNA". It matches the Rfam family "Bacterial small subunit ribosomal RNA", at positions 28 to 507 of the family's 1533-position model. The record is from RNAcentral.